Ictalurus punctatus (channel catfish) is the source of this 714-nucleotide long non-coding RNA. The record is from Ensembl. Lineage: Eukaryota; Metazoa; Chordata; Actinopteri; Siluriformes; Ictaluridae.
AAAUAGAUAGAUAGAUAGAUAGAUAAACAAAUGAGUGAGUGAGAAAAAUGAAUGAGUGAGUGAGAAGAUAGAUAGAUAGAUAAAUGAAUGAGUGAGUGAGUAAAUAGAUAGAUAGAUAGAUAGAUAGAUAGAUAGAUAAAUGAAUGAGCGAGUGAAUAGAUAGAUAGAUAGAUAGAUAGAUAGAUAGAUAGAUAAAUGAAUGAGGGAGUGAGUAAUAGAUAGAUAGAUAGAUAGAUAGAUAGAUAAAUGAAUGAGGGAGUGAGUAAAUAGAUAGAUAGAUAUAUAGAUAGAUAAAUGAGUGAGUGAGAAAAUAGAUGAAUAAAUGAAUGAGCGAGUGAGUAGAUAGAUAGAUAGAUAGAUAAAUGAACGAGCGAGUGAGUAGAUAGAUAGAUAAAUAAACGAGCGAGUGAGAAGAUGGAUAGAUAAGUGGAUAAUGAGUGAGUAAAUAAGUGAUCUGAUUUCCCGAGCUCCGGGUCAGCACUGCUGUCUGUGCGUUGUGUUCUCAGUAGCGUUUGUGUAUUUCAGUAAUAAUUUGACGACGCAGUCACUGCAAGCACGCUCUAUACCGUUAACCGUUAUUUACUUUAAUACUCCUCCGUUCCUAUACUUUUGCUCACGUAAAAUCAGACCGGAUGGUCCGAGACAAAAGUUGUUUAUCACAUCUAGAUGUAAACGUGAGGAAAUCCGAUCUACCGUCUCGUGUUCAUCUUUUCA